AUUGAACGCUGGCGGCAUGCCUUACACAUGCAAGUCGAACGGUAACAGGUCUUCUGCUGCUGACGCGUGCCGCACGGGUGUGUAAUACAUCGGAACGUGCCCGAUCGUGGGGGAUAACGGAGCGACAGCUUUGCUACUAUCGCAUACGCUCUACGGAUGAAAGCCGGGGACCGCAUGGCCCUGCUCGGUCGCAGCGGCCGAGGGCAGAUUAGGUAGUUGGUGGGAUAAAGGCUUACCAAGGCGACGACCUGUAGCUGGUCUGAGAGGACGACCAGCCACACUGGGACUGAGACACGGCCCAGACUCCUACGGGAGGCAGCAGUGGGGAAUGUUGGACAAUGGGCGAAAGCCUGAUCCAGCCAUGCCGAGUGCAGGAUGAAGGCCUUCGGGUUGUAAACUGCUUUUGUACGGAACGAAAAGACUCUUGCUAAUAAAGAGGGUCCAUGACGGUACCGUAAGAAUAAGCACCGGCUAACUACGUG
This 482-nucleotide ribosomal RNA is filed under the name uncultured bacterium. RNAcentral's name for it is "partial 16S ribosomal RNA". It matches the Rfam family "Bacterial small subunit ribosomal RNA", at positions 30 to 507 of the family's 1533-position model. The record is from RNAcentral.